UCAUGUUCAUAGACACACAUGAACAGAUACCUUCUAUGAGUAAUUAGUAAGAUAAGCAAUUUUUAAAAAUUCCACAGAAUCCUAGUCUGUGUUUAGAUUUUAUGCUUAGGGUCUUUCAUUACUGAGCUGGGUAGGACCUCAGAGGUUAACUGUUUCCUGAGUGUGUUGGGACUAGAUCGUUUCAAUUAAUUCAUGUGUGUUGCCCCUGUAAAAGCCUAAGACUUUUUCAGAAUAGGUGGUGGCUAACUAAGGGUGGAGUCAGGAUUGCUAGUGAGAUUUUCUUAGCUCCAAAAUACUUAUCUUCUCUGAUUAUAAAUGAAACCCUGAAAAGUAGGGAUAAUUUUUCAUAGAGAUAGGCUUGAAUGCUGAUAUGAAAUUAACUGUUUGCAGAUAGAUUUGAAGUGGAUUUUGACAAGGGUGAGGUUGAAGAAUAUAUGAUGAUAUUGUUUAGGCUGGAAUGGUUUUUCUUUAAUUAAUGUCAGUUUUAUUUUCAGGGUGAUCGUGGACUUCCUGGUUUUCCUGGGCUUCAUGGCAUGCCAGGAUCAAAGGGUGAAAUGGGUGCCAAAGGAGACAAAGGAUCACCUGGAUUUUAUGGCAAAAAGGGAAGUAUAGAUCACACAGCAAAGUAUUCAUAUUGAACUUUUAAUGUAAUGGAAACAGAAAACUUGAAUUGCAGUUCUAACCCAACGUUAGAACAGUUAGCUUUGUUCACCCUUCUUAGGGGAUUAAUUCAGAACAAUGAAAAAAGAAAAAAAAGAAAAAAGAAUUGGUGACUGC
RNAcentral lists this small RNA (777 nucleotides) under Pongo abelii (Sumatran orangutan). Its description in RNAcentral is "processed transcript". Lineage: Eukaryota; Metazoa; Chordata; Mammalia; Primates; Hominidae. The record is from RNAcentral.